AUGGAAGGCCUUCUACACUAGGAUUUCUCGCCCGGCCUUGCGGUUGCGGCUCAGGUGCGUCGUCGUUUUUGAUCUUCUGUUCAGUUCUCCCCUUCUGGAUCGACCAAGGAGUUCUUCUUGGUUGUCUUCUUCUCGUCAGCUUCUUUCUCUCUUUCCGAAGAAUCUGUGGCCAUUGCACUUCAAUGUUCCAUUGGUGGUCUCCCAUCCGGUCUCAAUGUGCACCAUCUUCAUGGAAGAUCUUACCGUUUUUCUGUUGCUUCUAAUCGCGUGGGACAUUUCAUCUAUGGGCUUAAAGAUCAAGUUUGGCCAGAUUUCGUAUGUCAUUUUCAACUCUUUCGUCCGGAUGCCACACGAUCAAAUCAUUUGGACACUUUUUGGAAUUCAGAUGCUCAUAGUCCCUAG
RNAcentral lists this ribosomal RNA (402 nucleotides) under Triticum aestivum (bread wheat). Its description in RNAcentral is "partial small subunit ribosomal RNA". The record is from RNAcentral. Lineage: Eukaryota; Viridiplantae; Streptophyta; Magnoliopsida; Poales; Poaceae.